UCCAGCUCAGCUCGGACCUGAGGCUCUCCCCUCUCUCCAAGCAGCGCUGUAGGGAUGGCUGCUCAUGGCCUUAGCUGAUGUGGUCCCUAAAUCGUUGACAGUUCUUGUCUUGACCUUGGAUGUUCCUUGACCUUGCUGGGUGCUGACUGGACUGCGUCUGACCCUGCCCUGCCCUCCCAGGCUGUGCUGUGGGUUCAGCUGAAGCUGGCUGCCACCUCCACUGCUCUGCUCACUGCUCUCAGGAUUGCCUCCUGCAUUGGUCAGACCCUUCUCAUCCCACUCAAGCAAGGAUGAAAAGCAGCCCUGAAAUGCUUCAGGAGGGAUGGCAGGAUCCAGUGGUGGGAUGUCAGUGUCUGGAGUCUGGCACCUCCCCUCCAUUUCUGGGAGCUGCUGCCUCACAAUGGAGCAAUGCAGUGUCUGCCCAGCAGCAUCCUGCCCUGGAGGAGAGAAGUUCCCAGACCCUGCCAAGUAUCAACAUCAAGAACGUGUCCCACGGAGACAAGGCCACACAGCAGCUUCCCUGUGUCAGCAUUCCCACUGAGCCCUUCCAACAGGCAGCCCGAAUUCCCUGCUCACACACACAGAGUUAUGCAGGUAGCUUGGCUCUGGACAGAGAAAUGGAGGAAAUAUCUGACAGAUUCACACCAUGGAGAGCAGCGCUUGCUUGGAGAAAUUGCUGUCUAACAGAUCCUUUGUGGACUUCCGACCAAAACCAUCCAGUGCAACAUAUGAGCACGAUCUGUGGUUACACCAUGGAGAAGCAAACCUGGAAAAAAACUUGUUGGACUGGCUCAGAG
Long non-coding RNA from Zonotrichia leucophrys gambelii, 797 nucleotides. RefSeq lists it as uncharacterized. Lineage: Eukaryota; Metazoa; Chordata; Aves; Passeriformes; Passerellidae. The record is from RefSeq and is a predicted model, not a curated record. The transcript has 6 exons.